AGAGUUUGAUCAUGGCUCAGAUUGAACGCUGGCGGAAUGCUUUACACAUGCAAGUCGAACGGCAGCACGGACUUCGGUCUGGUGGCGAGUGGCGAACGGGUGAGUAAUACAUCGGAACGUGCCCAGUCGUGGGGGAUAACGUAGCGAAAGCUACGCUAAUACCGCAUACGAUCUAAGGAUGAAAGCGGGGGAUCGAAAGACCUCGCGCGAUUGGAGCGGCCGAUGGCAGAUUAGGUAGUUGGUGGGGUAAAGGCUCACCAAGCCGACGAUCUGUAGCUGGUCUGAGAGGACGACCAGCCACACUGGGACUGAGACACGGCCCAGACUCCUACGGGAGGCAGCAGUGGGGAAUUUUGGACAAUGGGCGCAAGCCUGAUCCAGCCAUUCCGCGUGCAGGAUGAAGGCCCUCGGGUUGUAAACUGCUUUUGUACGGAACGAAAAGGCUCUGGUUAAUACCUGGGGCUCAUGACGGUACCGUAAGAAUAAGCACCGGCUAACUACGUGCCAGCAGCCGCGGUAAU
This 521-nucleotide ribosomal RNA is filed under the name uncultured bacterium. Its description in RNAcentral is "bacterial SSU rRNA". It matches the Rfam family "Bacterial small subunit ribosomal RNA", at positions 8 to 524 of the family's 1533-position model. The record is from RNAcentral.